Molecule: long non-coding RNA, 2209 nt
Filed under: Salmo salar (Atlantic salmon)
Lineage: Eukaryota; Metazoa; Chordata; Actinopteri; Salmoniformes; Salmonidae
Description: lncRNA (ENSSSAG00000109414.1)
Source: RNAcentral
GUUAGAUUUUUUUUGCCAACCUGGUGGAUGGUUUUUCCAAUGGUGUAUUUAAAGAGGAAGGAAGUUCAGUAUUUUACUACUCCAUGUUAGAUGGUUCAGGCGAGUUAAUUAAGAACAAAUUCUUAUUUACAAUGACAGCCUGGCCACUGACAGCUGGGAAGUGCAGAGCAAUACAUAAAAUAACAAAACAACAUUGAAAUCACAGGACAAGACAGACAGAAGGACAGGGACAUAUGACAAACACAAAAGUCAAUACAGAACAGUUACAGCACAAGGAGAACAGAUAUCACAAAACAACGGGACAGAAAUACAUGGCCACAACACAAUAAAAACAGUCAGUAUAGAUAGUAGACAGUCAGCAGUAAAUAUGCUACAAUAUCAGACCGCUACAUUGACUGACCAGCUGAUGGAGUGGAGGCCACCGUGGAAAUGCGGGACCAGGAAAUGCAGGAACAGGCUUGGACUAAGCAGCUGGGCAGCCGGCAAAUGCCGGGACCGCAGAGGGGAUGGUCGCCAGAUAUGAGACCGCCUUAAAGGAUGUUACCUAGAGGAAGUUUCCUCCUUGGCUGCAUCCUGUGGCAGUUUAUUGCAUUCUUCUGCGUCCACGUUAAAGUAUCGUCAGCCAAGUAUUGGUUCAUGAUGAAAAUGAUGAUGAUUACAGAGUAUGCUGUGUACAUCUUGGAUAAUGUGCAGGUCCUCCCGGUGGUUCAAAGUACUCCUGAGAAGAACCUGAACCAUCCCUCUCAGGAGAUGAAUACUCCAUCCAGCGAUGAUGUCUUACAGACCUAUACGGAGGGUUAAGCCAAACCCCUGGACGACAAACUUAUCAAUAGCCCACCUGACAAUGAACCAACCCUAUAUGACAACAUACAGGCCUUCCCUAGGGGGAAUGAAAAACCACUCGAACUCGAAGAUGUGAAGGACUCUAGAGGGUGAUACUACUCCCCUCCGUGACCUGCAGGUGUCCUCACAGAUCAACGGCACACCCCUCGUCGACGAGCAGCAGUGUCAGUGGGUGCGGAGCCUGCGUGGACAAGCUACAGCCCUGUCAGAUGAGUGAAAGAGACAGAAGUACUGUACUCAGUACUGCUGGGAAAACGCCUUGAGGCAGAUCCAGGAGGACAUGCGGAGGGAAGGUGCAAGCAGUCUACUGUCAGCCCAGCCACCCUCCCCUCGCCUUCACAUGCCCUUGCACACACCUGGGGAUAAUAAGGAGAAGAGAGAGAAGAGGAAGAAGGAGAAAAAGCCAGUAAGCUACUUUCCUAUGGACAACACACAGACAUCCAACCAUGUCCCCACAGAUGUUGAGGAGCCCAUUUCACAGGGUAAGGUUUGGGGUGAGGUACAGACCUCCACCCAUGUCGAUGGCCAGGACAACACAACCAAAGCUAACGAUACAAUGGAGGAUGAAGAUCCCAUUUCAACAAGGGACAAGGUUUGGCGUGAGAUGCGACCCUUCCAUUACUCCUGCCAGACCAUCACAAUUCCACCCAUGGCCGAUGAGGUGGAGCCUAUGUCCCAGGCUAUUGCUCCCUCCAUUGCCAUUAGGCAGUCCCCAAAAGUUGACGCCCCACCUCCCAAUGACGCCAGCUCAUUUGCCCCAAAGACUGAGGGGUGGUUCGGCCGACUCUUUCAUUGGAGGAAUGGGGACUCUGCUGGCUCUCCUAAAGGAGUCGACAUGUAUGUACUCUAUGAGAGCAGAAGGAGGUCUCGAGGCAUGAUCAUGAACAGCAUCUUAAAAUGCAUCGUUGAAACGUUCAAGGCAUAUUAUGAAACAGCAUCUUCAAAAAUGAAUAAACACAAGAUGUAUUCAGGAUAAUCGUACUCUGAUAUUUUUUCAAAAUAGCUGCACAGUGAUACAGAAGAAGGGGAACCGAAAUGUGGUCUCAAACCACAAGUCAGUGCACAUACACACCCACAUUCUUUUACAAACAUAUCUGCGUCCCAAAUGAUACCCUCUACCCUUUAUAGUACACUACUUCUGACCAGAGCCUUGGUCAAAAGUAGUGCACUAUAUUGGGAAUAGGCCAUUUGAGAUGCAUAAACAUUCAGAUAUAUGACACAGGGAGGUGAUGAUAAAAGUGGUCUGUGAUUUUCUACUCCAGAUCAUGAUUCAGCUUACUCAUGAGUCCACUUUGAAAAUUAAAACACAAAGGUUUUCUGCGACCUGUUUUAUGACCUCUAUGCAUUAUGUUAUAUUAUAAACUGG